Oncorhynchus gorbuscha (pink salmon) is the source of this 1246-nucleotide long non-coding RNA. RefSeq lists it as uncharacterized. The transcript has 3 exons. Lineage: Eukaryota; Metazoa; Chordata; Actinopteri; Salmoniformes; Salmonidae. The record is from RefSeq and is a predicted model, not a curated record.
CCAUUCCUCUGUAUCGGUCGAGGAUCUUGACACUACUGGGACGACUGGCGAGGACGCGCUCUCGUAUUGUCCUCUCUGCGCGCUCCCGUGCCAUCUUCAAUUCCAAUUGUUGUAGUUUCCUCCGCAAUCCCCUGUUUUCUUUCUGGCUUUGAGUUAUUUCCAAACGAAACACUGCAUAGUCGUCGUCUACGAGUUUACAGAUCUCUGCCACGGCUGUAUUCGCUAGCAUCUCCAUGAUGGAGGCAAUUUGAGUGUGAAAAAUCAUACAGUCAGCCAUUGUUGUUAGCGAACGUUAGCAGCUAGCUAGAUAACAUCAUCAACCAAGUUCCGUCUCCAACGCGAAUUAAAGACUACCUGGGGUGUAUGGCUUGUCGGCGUCCGUCCUAAUCCUCGGCCUCCCACGUCGUGACCCAAUGUCACCAGAGGAAGUAGAAGCAGGAGCCACCACCCUCAGGAACAGGAGGGUCUAUCUCUAUCAGCCCCAGGCCCUGCUCCAUCCCUGCACUGAGACUGUGAAGAGAAGGGUCUGGGCUGUAGACUGGAUCCCUGACUGGAGCCUCUGUCUCUCUGAUGACCACCAGGACUGAGGUGUUCAGUCCACCCGUCCACUGGUUGUGUUCUGUGUCGUGGUGGAGUCUCUGUCCUUCGCGGUCGGGUCCUGGUUCCAACUCGCGAAGGAAGAGCGAUGGCUCCUGAUCCAGUGUCCUGAUCGGGGGCCAGGGUUUGUGACCAGCUGCUUCAGAGGUCCAGUCUCUCCCGCCAGCAACACCGGAUAUCAGCAGGUCCUCAUGGACUGCAGACACAAAUUUAACAGAAAAUCAUAAAGUUUUAUAUAAGAAACUCUUUGCUGUACACACACAAACAUGACAUUAUAAAAUGUUAACCAGUCAAGCCUCUAACACUGUGAUUCAAGUACAGUACAAUAUGGAGGCAUUGGAGUUUAUUAUAUUUAAAAAAUGUACAUGUGUUGAUUCAAAAAUGAAGUAUAAUGUUUUGGUUUCACUGAGAUAAGGACAACGCAGUCCCUGCAACGAUACAAAAAUAACCAAGUCAGAACAGUCAAUGUUGUAUUUAAUUUCAACAAAAUGGUCAUACAGUCACAUAGUGAAGUACAGAACUUUAAUUGUACAAACAACAUGUGACAAGUAGAAUAACUUUUACCUUUUCUUUUACCUUUUCUGAAAAGCUGGUACUCUCGCUUUGAAAAAAUACAUUUUGAAUACUUUGGAAAAGGUUCAGCAUUGCA